CCUACGGGAGGCAGCAGUGAGGAAUAUUGGUCAAUGGACGAGAGUCUGAACCAGCCAAGCCGCGUGAAGGAUGACUGCCCUAUGGGUUGUAAACUUCUUUUAUAUGGGAAUAAAAUGUUCCACGUGUGGGAUUUUGUACGUACCAUAUGAAUAAGGAUCGGCUAACUCCGUGCCAGCAGCCGCGGUAAUACGGAGGGUCCGAGCGUUAUCCGGAUUUAUUGGGUUUAAAGGGAGCGUAGGUGGAUUGGUAAGUCAGUUGUGAAAGUUUGCGGCUCAACCGUAAAAUUGCAGUUGAAACUGGGUGUCUGGAGUACAGUAGAGGUGGGCGGAAUUCGUGGUGUAGCGGUGAAAUGCUUAGAUAUCACGAAGAACUCCGAUUGCGAAGGCAGCUCACUGGACUGCAACUGACACUGAGGCUCGAAAGUGUGGGUAGCAAACAGGAUUAGAUACCCGGGUAGUC
RNAcentral lists this ribosomal RNA (460 nucleotides) under uncultured bacterium. RNAcentral describes it as "partial 16S ribosomal RNA". It matches the Rfam family "Bacterial small subunit ribosomal RNA", at positions 338 to 795 of the family's 1533-position model. The record is from RNAcentral.